GAUGAACGCUGGCGGCGUGCCUAAUACAUGCAAGUCGAGCGGACGGACGCGGCGCUUGCUUUUCUGAUGUUAGCGGCGGACGGGUGAGUAACACGUGGAUACCCUACCUAUCAGACUGGGAUCACUUCGGGAAACCGGAGCUAACCCCGGAUAAUCUUUUGCACCGCAUGGUUCAAAAGUGAAAGACGGUCUUGCUGUCACUUCUCGAUGGUUCCGCGCUGCAUUGGCUAGUUGGUAAGGUAACGGCGUACCAAGGCGACGAUGCAUAGCCGACCUGUGAGGCGGAUAGGCGACCCGAGAAGGUGGACACGGUCAAUACGACUACGGGAGGGAGCAGAAGGGUAUCUGACGCAAUGGGCGAGAGCAUGACGGAGCAAGGCCGCGUGAGAGAUGGAGGUCUUCGGAGCGUGAUACUCGGUUAUUAGGUGAGAACAGAUGUGUAAGGAACUGUGCACAGCUUGACGGUACCUAAUCAGAAAGCCACGGCUAACUACGUG
This 497-nucleotide ribosomal RNA is filed under the name uncultured bacterium. RNAcentral describes it as "partial 16S ribosomal RNA". It matches the Rfam family "Bacterial small subunit ribosomal RNA", at positions 28 to 507 of the family's 1533-position model. The record is from RNAcentral.